AGCAGCCGCGGUAAUUCCAGCUCCAAUAGCGUAUAUUAAAGUUGUUGCAGUUAAAAAGCUCGUAGUUGAAUUUCGGGAUCAGUUGGUCGGUCGUGCCUCGGUACGUACUGGUCAAAUUGAUUCCUACCUUCUGACGAACCACGAUGUCAUUAAUUUGGUGUCGCGGGAAAUCAGGACUGUUACUUUGAAAAAAUUAGAGUGUUUAAAGCAGGCUCGCGCUUGAAUACAUUAGCAUGGAAUAAUGAAAUAGGACGUUUGAUUCUAUUUUGUUGGUUUCUAGGAUCGACGUAAUGAUUAAUAGGGAUAGUUGGGGGCAUUAGUAUUCAAUUGUCAGAGGUGAAAUUCUUGGAUUUAUUGAAGACUAACUACUGCGAAAGCAUUUGCCAAGGAUGUUUUCAUUAAUCAAGAACGAAAGUUAGGGGAUCGAAGACAAUCAGAUACCGUCGUAGUCUUAACCAUAAACUAUGCCGACUAGGGAUCGGAUGAUGUUAAUUUUUUAAUGUACUCAUUCGGCGCCUUA
RNAcentral lists this unclassified non-coding RNA (520 nucleotides) under uncultured Glomus. RNAcentral's name for it is "SSU rRNA". It matches the Rfam family "Eukaryotic small subunit ribosomal RNA", at positions 569 to 1090 of the family's 1831-position model. Lineage: Eukaryota; Fungi; Glomeromycota; Glomeromycetes; Glomerales; Glomeraceae. The record is from RNAcentral.